AUCCUGGCUCAGGAUGAACGCUGGCGGCGUGCCUAAUACAUGCAAGUCGAGCGAAUGGAUUGAGAGCUUGCUCUCAAGAAGUUAGCGGCGGACGGGUGAGUAACACGUGGGUAACCUGCCCAUAAGACUGGGAUAACUCCGGGAAACCGGGGCUAAUACCGGAUAACAUUUUGAACUGCAUGGUUCGAAAUUGAAAGGCGGCUUCGGCUGUCACUUAUGGAUGGACCCGCGUCGCAUUAGCUAGUUGGUGAGGUAACGGCUCACCAAGGCAACGAUGCGUAGCCGACCUGAGAGGGUGAUCGGCCACACUGGGACUGAGACACGGCCCAGACUCCUACGGGAGGCAGCAGUAGGGAAUCUUCCGCAAUGGACGAAAGUCUGACGGAGCAACGCCGCGUGAGUGAUGAAGGCUUUCGGGUCGUAAAACUCUGUUGUUAGGGAAGAACAAGUGCUAGUUGAAUAAGCUGGCACCUUGACGGUACCUAACCAGAA
Molecule: ribosomal RNA, 492 nt
Filed under: Bacillus cereus
Lineage: Bacteria; Bacillati; Bacillota; Bacilli; Caryophanales; Bacillaceae
Description: bacterial SSU rRNA
Rfam family: Bacterial small subunit ribosomal RNA
Source: RNAcentral